Non-coding RNA from Xyrichtys novacula (pearly razorfish), 1137 nucleotides. Lineage: Eukaryota; Metazoa; Chordata; Actinopteri; Labriformes; Labridae. The record is from the annotation of a GenBank genome assembly.
CUCUUGCAAAAAAUAUUUGGGCAAAUGUAAUAACCUGUAUGGUCUGCAUUCAAGCUUGAACAUGAAGAACUUACACCAGAACAGAAGGAGACAGUUUCAGAUCUUGCAUUAUCUUGGGAUCUCCCGGCAGUCACCAAAACAAAUUGGAGAUGGCUACAUAACCUGCUGGUUAACUUAACUGGCACAAUUCAUAGCUAAUGCUGGCAGGGAUAAAAUGGUAAGGUUUUAGUUGUGUAAUUCAUGCUUUGGCCAUUGUCAUGUUUAAGUUUUUCACAACCACCAUUUAAUGCAUAGCUUAUGUAAGUAGAAUGGUAUUUAUAGUUUAACCACAGCAUUUCUCACGCCUGUUGAGUGUUGAAAUUUAGGUUGAGGAUUUCAGCUGUAAUAUUUGUUGGGUCCGUCUCUUUAGGUCAUUGGGAGAACCAUGCGCCAAAUUAAACAGUUGAGAAAGGGGCUGAAAGAUGUGAUGGUAUGGCCACUUCUGACAUCUAGACCAGAUGUAGUCCCACCUCUUUUCCCCGAAAUGGCUGAUUUGCAGUUCACACCUCAGGUAAGGCAGGAUUUCAGGUUUUUUUUAACUUCACUGUAUGAAUUUGUGUAUUUUCAAUGACUGAGCUGUUAUAUUUUUCCAAUUACCAAAAAUGUGAUCUGAAUAUUCCUUUAACAAAGUAAGUUCAAAUAUGCCCAGUUGUUUUCUCUUUUUUUGUUUCUAAAGAUGCUCCUGCAAAAAAUCACAUGGCCAGUUGAGGACAGUGAUGAUGAGGACUUUGACGUAGAGUCUACAUGCCGCAUCACUGGCUUUCCGAGGAUGUUCAUUGAAACAGGUAUGAAACCGUUUAUUUUGCUAAUGUUCUUGUAUUGCUCUCUUUUUAAAUGUUUCAUGGAUAGAGAUGACCAAUUGGAGUCAAACUAAGUGUUGUCUUCGAUCUGUUUUAUGACUUUUAGCCUCAUCAGGUAUCUGGUCAAGCUACUGAAAUUCUGGGUUGGCUGGGAGAUGCUUCCUCCUGAGCUCAGAGUGGAGAUCUCUGGAGGAAGUCUUCCUACGUCCUCUACAUGCUUUAAAACACUGAAGCUGCCAGCUCAUUUCAAAACCUACGAGGAGUUUGAGGAAGCACUUUUCACAGCCAUAAAUAGUGC